This 499-nucleotide ribosomal RNA is filed under the name uncultured Sphingobacteriales bacterium. RNAcentral's name for it is "bacterial SSU rRNA". It matches the Rfam family "Bacterial small subunit ribosomal RNA", at positions 903 to 1382 of the family's 1533-position model. Lineage: Bacteria; Pseudomonadati; Bacteroidota; Sphingobacteriia; Sphingobacteriales. The record is from RNAcentral.
GCCAGCCCGCUCAAGAACUACGAAAGGAAUUGACGGGGGCCCGCACAAGCGGUGGAGCAUGUGGUUUAAUUCGAUGAUACGCGAGGAACCUUACCUGGGCUCAAAUGUAUGUUGACGUAUUCUGAAAGGGAUACUUCUUCGGACAAUAUACAAGGUGCUGCAUGGUUGUCGUCAGCUCGUGCCGUGAGGUGUCGGGUUAAGUCCCAUAACGAGCGCAACCCCUAUCAUUAGUUGCCAUCAGGUCGAGCUGGGGACUCUAAUGAAACUGCCUACGCAAGUAGUGAGGAAGGUGGGGAUGACGUCAAAUCAGCACGGCCCUUACGGCCUGGGCUACACACGUGCUACAAUGGUCGGUACAAAGGGUUGCCAAGCCGCGAGGUGGAGCUAAUCCCAUAAAACCGAUCGUAGUCCGGAUCGCAGUCUGCAACUCGACUGCGUGAAGUCGGAAUCGCUAGUAAUCGUGAAUCAGAAUGUCACGGUGAAUACGUUCCCGGGCCUU